This 2167-nucleotide long non-coding RNA is filed under the name Callithrix jacchus (white-tufted-ear marmoset). RNAcentral's name for it is "lncRNA (ENSCJAG00000075938.1)". Lineage: Eukaryota; Metazoa; Chordata; Mammalia; Primates; Cebidae. The record is from RNAcentral.
GUCCUCUGAAGAGAGUAAAACACUUAAAGCAACACCAGAAUUCUCUUGGGAUAUGUGAGGACAACAGCUGCCUGCGUGUGCUGGAGACCUUGGACGAAGUUCCCAAGUCCUAUCCACAGCUACAGGUUUGAAGUGACGUCUAACUUACAAGAAGCAGCAAGAGUCAUCUAAAGAGCUUUGGACACAGCCAGGCCCUCCCGCCUUCACGUGCUUUUCCCUGUGUUUCUAUGAACACACUGUCAUGGGGUUUCCUGGCCAUUUCAGAGCCAGUUGCCGGCAUGACUCCCUUGGUCCUUAGACGUUCUCCUGUGUUUCCCCCGAGGCCAAGGAUGUCCUCUAGCACAGCCUCAGCGCAGCGAGCAGAAUCACGGCACUGGCGCCGGCACACACUGUCGUCUGCUCUGUCGUCUGCAGUUCACCAAUGCCGGGUCCUUGCCAGGCCGCCUCUGUCUCUUCUGACAAGGAGCCUGCAACAAAUAGUGUCAGACACCAUACUGUGGUCUCAUCACUGCUGAGCUCUGCCCGGGAUCCUGGAACUCUCCAGCUACCUCCUCUUCUUAGGAGUGGACAUGGGACACCUCCGUACAUUCAGUCAGUAUAAGGUUGUGGUGUGCCCGUUGUAUGCCAGGAAUUAUCUUCUCAGCAGCAAAAGAAUCUCUAUAUUUUGGGGCCAUGUGAAGAACAAAACGAUGAUGUGUACGAGGUUCUUGCCAAACUGCGUGGUGCAGAGAAGCCCUGGAGAAAGGGUGACAGUGUCGCUCUGGAGGCUGUGCCGGUUCCAGGACGCUUCCUCUGGGACCCCCUGUGCUUCCUGCCACCCUCCCCCAGGGUAAUUUCUUAUCUUUCCCCAAUUGCAUUUUGAUAUUCCCUUGUUAAGAUUUUACUAUUUUUCAAACGAUCCAAAGGUAAUUAAAACUCUAGCCAUUGGAAAUGGCAGUUCUAACAAGUAGUCCUAGAGUCAUCGUAACCUCAUGGGUGCUGCCAUGGAACCAUCUUAUCCACACUGGGAAAGUCCCUGACACGCCCAUAAAGGCCUGUUCAUCCGGUGUGCACACCAAGUGUCCUCUGCAUUCCAAGGACUGUGAGAAGCACAGACACGUUACAGAGAACGAAAUGAAAACAAUACUGCCUUCAACGAACUGGUGGCCAGGUAAAAUCCUAACUACAGAGAAUGAUUGGGAAGGAUCAACUGGAGGAGAUAACAUGUGAGAUGGCCAGGUAAAAUCCUAACUACGGAGAAUGAUCAGAAAGGAUCAGUUGGAGGAGAUAACACGUGAGCUGGCCAGGUAAAAUCUUAACCGCAGAGAAUGAUCGGGAAGGAUCAGUUGGAGGAGAUAACAGGUGAGCUGGCCAGGUAAAAUCCUAACCGCAGAGAAUGAUCGGGAAGGAUCAGUUGGAGGAGAUAACACGUGAGCUGGCCAGGUAAAAUCCUAACCGCAGAGAAUGAUCGGGAAGGAUCAGUUGGAGGAGAUAACACGUGAGCUGGCCAGGUAAAAUCCUAACCGCAGAGAAUGAUCGGGAAGGAUCAGUUGGAGGAGAUAACACGUGAGCUGGCCAGGUAAAAUCCUAACCGCAGAGAAUGAUCGGGAAGGAUCAGUUGGAGGAGAUAACACGUGAGCUGGCCAGGUAAAAUCCUAACCGCAGAGAAUGAUCGGGAAGGAUCAGUUGGAGGAGAUAACAUGUGAGCUGGCCAGGUAAAAUCCUAACUGCAGAGAAUGAUCGGGAAGGAUCAGUUGGAGGAGAUAACACAUGAGCUGGACUUUUAAGGAGGAGAAGUCUCCAGCUUUAGAAAGCCAACAAGAGGAGUGUUUAAUGCAAAGAAGCUCAUAAACCCACCCUUAGGUAGAAAUGAUCCUAACCUGUGGAAGCUUCUGGAUUGAGCGAGGGACCAGCAGGCGUAAGCAGACUGGGAUGGUCAUUCCUCCCAGACCUUACAUGCUGCGCUGAAGAAUUUCUGUUUUUCUCCAAGUGAGAUGGGAAGCCUUUGAAAGGUUUUUACCAGGACAGGACCAGAAUACCUUUUAUAUUAUUAGAAGGCUGGCAUGGCCACAGGGAAAGAACAGUCUUUUAGUCAGUGAGAAUGGGAGGGUGGAAAACAGUCAGAAGAACAUUGCAGUUGUCCAGGAAAGGGAGGACAGUGACCUGAGCCUGUGCAGUGGCCGGGAGG